CAGCAGCCGCGGUAAUACGUAGGGUGCGAGCGUUAAUCGGAAUUACUGGGCGUAAAGCGUGCGCAGGCGGUUAUAUAAGACAGAUGUGAAAUCCCCGGGCUCAACCUGGGACCUGCAUUUGUGACUGUAUAGCUAGAGUACGGUAGAGGGGGAUGGAAUUCCGCGUGUAGCAGUGAAAUGCGUAGAUAUGCGGAGGGACACCGAUGGCGAAGGCAAUCCCCUGGACCUGUACUGACGCUCAUACACGAAAGCGUGGGGAGCAAACAGGAUUAGAUACCCCUGUAGUCCCUGUCUCUUAUAC
RNAcentral lists this ribosomal RNA (301 nucleotides) under uncultured bacterium. RNAcentral's name for it is "partial 16S ribosomal RNA". It matches the Rfam family "Bacterial small subunit ribosomal RNA", at positions 509 to 807 of the family's 1533-position model. The record is from RNAcentral.